This is a long non-coding RNA of Vespa mandarinia (Asian giant hornet), 213 nucleotides long. Lineage: Eukaryota; Metazoa; Arthropoda; Insecta; Hymenoptera; Vespidae. The record is from RefSeq and is a predicted model, not a curated record.
GAGAGAGAGAGAGAGAGAGAGAGAGAGAGAGAGAGAGAGAGAGAGAUAGAAAGCAAAGUUGACCACGCUAGAAUGGUAUCGAGUUACAUGUUAUAUACGUCGAACGAAACUUUGUGGCACCCUAAUUGACGCAAGUUCUUAAUGAAUCGUAGAGAAGGUAAUAUAGAGAGAGAGAGAGAGAGAGAGAGAGAGAGAGAGAGAGAGAGAGAGAGA